CCUACGGGUGGCAGCAGUGAGGAAUAUUGGUCAAUGGGCGGAAGCCUGAACCAGCCAAGUAGCGUGCAGGAUGACGGCCCUACGGGUUGUAAACUGCUUUUAUACGGGAAUAACGCGCCUUACGUGUAGGGCUUUGCAUGUACCGUAUGAAUAAGGACCGGCUAAUUCCGUGCCAGCAGCCGCGGUAAUACGGAAGGUCCGGGCGUUAUCCGGAUUUAUUGGGUUUAAAGGGUGCGUAGGCCGCAUGUCAAGCGUGCUGUGAAAUGUCCGGGCUCAACCCGGGCCUUGCAGCGCGAACUGGGGUGCUGGAGUCCGCGGGAGGCAGGCGGAAUUCGUCGUGUAGCGGUGAAAUGCUUAGAUAUGACGAAGAACCCCGAUUGCGAAGGCAGCUUGCUGCAGCGGAACUGACGCUGAUGCUCGAAAGCGCGGGUAUCGAACAGGAUUAGAUACCCGUGUAGUC
Molecule: ribosomal RNA, 460 nt
Filed under: uncultured bacterium
Lineage: Bacteria
Description: partial 16S ribosomal RNA
Rfam family: Bacterial small subunit ribosomal RNA
Source: RNAcentral